UCGGAGAGUUUGAUCCUGGCUCAGGAUGAACGCUGGCGGCGUGCCUAAUACAUGCAAGUCGAGCGAACUGAUUAGAAGCUUGCUUCUAUGACGUUAGCGGCGGACGGGUGAGUAACACGUGGGCAACCUGCCUGUAAGACUGGGAUAACUUCGGGAAACCGAAGCUAAUACCGGAUAGGAUCUUCUCCUUCAUGGGAGAUGRUUGAAAGAUGGUUUCGGCUAUCACUUACAGAUGGGCCCGCGGUGCAUUAGCUAGUUGGUGAGGUAACGGCUCACCAAGGCAACGAUGCAUAGCCGACCUGAGAGGGUGAUCGGCCACACUGGGACUGAGACACGGCCCAGACUCCUACGGGAGGCAGCAGUAGGGAAUCUUCCGCAAUGGACGAAAGUCUGACGGAGCAACGCCGCGUGAGUGAUGAAGGCUUUCGGGUCGUAAAACUCUGUUGUUAGGGAAGAACAAGUAYGAGAGUAACUGCUCGUACCUUGACGGUACCUAACCAGAAAGCCACGGCUAACUACGUGCCAGCAGCCGCGGUAAUACGUAGGUGGCAAGCGUUAUCCGGAAUUAUUGGGCGUAAAGCGCGCGCAGGCGGUUUCUUAAGUCUGAUGUGAAAGCCCACGGCUCAACCGUGGAGGGUCAUUGGAAACUGGGGAACUUGAGUGCAGAAGAGAAAAGCGGAAUUCCACGUGUAGCGGUGAAAUGCGUAGAGAUGUGGAGGAACACCAGUG
This 729-nucleotide ribosomal RNA is filed under the name Priestia megaterium. RNAcentral's name for it is "bacterial SSU rRNA". It matches the Rfam family "Bacterial small subunit ribosomal RNA", at positions 1 to 714 of the family's 1533-position model. Lineage: Bacteria; Bacillati; Bacillota; Bacilli; Caryophanales; Bacillaceae. The record is from RNAcentral.